Molecule: long non-coding RNA, 607 nt
Filed under: Malus domestica (apple)
Lineage: Eukaryota; Viridiplantae; Streptophyta; Magnoliopsida; Rosales; Rosaceae
Description: long non-coding RNA (MDOM_LNC016460)
Source: RNAcentral
GUCAUACAAGCUAUGGCUCAAGAUAAUUGGCAUGAAUAAGACUCCACAUUUCUCACAACUGUAUCUCAUUAUCCGUAAUCGGAUCAUGAGUAACUUCAACCCAGUUAGUACAUAACAUAACAUCUUCAACAAGCGAGCAAUUCGUACCUGCAUGAUUAGUCAUUUUGUUGGAAAAAAAUUGGAUUGAAACUUUGAGAGAAAGAUAAGAAUGUGGUUGAAACUAGUUGACAAAAUAUGAAAUUGUUGUGUAAGGUAGAAGAUAAUGAGAAGGUAUUUAUAGAAAAGUAAAAUCAAUUUCUUUUUAAUUUUUCAAAUUUUUUUUCUGGAUUUUUAUUAAGUUUUUACAUUUUUUAAAAUUUUUUAUUCACAUAAUUAAUCUCUGCCGUUGGAUUAAAAAAAAAUUGAAUUCCAACACUCCAAAUUAUGCCAUGUGGCACAAUGGUAAGAUUUCAGAAUUUUAAACUGUUUUUUUUUUUAAAUUUAUAAAGCCGAAUAACGUGGACCAUUGAUCUCAGAUCUAACAACUGACAGUAAUGACAGUUUGAAUUUUUUUUUUACAGUUGGAAAUCCAACGAUCCACAUAUAGUAACUGCUGAAAUCCAACAGA